Molecule: ribosomal RNA, 467 nt
Filed under: uncultured bacterium
Lineage: Bacteria
Description: partial 16S ribosomal RNA
Rfam family: Bacterial small subunit ribosomal RNA
Source: RNAcentral
ACGAACGCUGGCGGCGUGCUUCACACCUGCCAGUCGAACGGAAAGGCCCUGCUUUUGUGGGGUGCUCGAGUGGCGAACGAGUGAGUAACACGUGAGUAACCUGCCCUUGACUUUGGGAUAACUUCAGGAAACUGGGGCUAAUACCGGAUAGGAGCUCCUGCUGCAUGGUGGGGGUUGGAAAGUUUCGGCGGUUGGGGAUGGACUCGCGGCUUAUCAGCUUGUUGGUGGGGUAGUGGCUUACCAAGGCUUUGACGGGUAGCCGGCCUGAGAGGGUGACCGGCCACAUUGGGACUGAGAUACGGCCCAGACUCCUACGGGAGGCAGCAGUGGGGAAUAUUGCACAAUGGGCGGAAGCCUGAUGCAGCAACGCCGCGUGCGGGAUGACGGCCUUCGGGUUGUAAACCGCUUUCGCCUGUGACGAAGCGUGAGUGACGGUAAUGGGUAAAGAAGCACCGGCUAACUACGUG